This 910-nucleotide ribosomal RNA is filed under the name uncultured Bacteroidota bacterium. Its description in RNAcentral is "bacterial SSU rRNA". It matches the Rfam family "Bacterial small subunit ribosomal RNA", at positions 50 to 958 of the family's 1533-position model. Lineage: Bacteria; Pseudomonadati; Bacteroidota. The record is from RNAcentral.
UAUACAUGCAAGUUGUACGGGAUUAUUGGUAGCAAUACUGAUAUGAGAGUAGCGCACGGGUGCGUAACACGUAUGCAACCUACCUUUAACUGGGGAAUAGCUCACCGAAAGGUGAAUUAAUACCGCAUAAAAUCACAGAAGGACAUCCUUUAAUGAUUAAAUCUCCGGAGGUUAAAGAUGGGCAUGCGUCCGAUUAGCUAGUUGGCGGGGUAACAGCCCACCAAGGCAACGAUCGGUAGGGGGUCUGAGAGGAUGAUCCCCCACACUGGUACUGAGACACGGACCAGACUCCUACGGGAGGCAGCAGUAAGGAAUAUUGGACAAUGGGGGCAACCCUGAUCCAGCCAUGCCGCGUGAAGGAUGAAGGCCCUAUGGGUCGUAAACUUCUUUUACAGGGGACAAAUAUCUUGCUCGUGAGCAGGAUUGAUGGUACUCUGAGAAUAAGGGUCGGCUAACUUCGUGCCAGCAGCCGCGGUAAUACGAAGGACCCGAGCGUUAUCCGGAUUUAUUGGGUUUAAAGGGUGCGUAGGCGGAUUUACAAGUCAGUGGUGAAAUCUCCCAGCUCAACUGGGAAACUGCCAUUGAAACUGUUUAUCUUGAGUACAUUUGAGGCGGGCGGAAUGUGUCAUGUAGAGGUGAAAUUCUUAGAUAUGACACAGAACACCAAUUGCGAAGGCAGCUCGCUAAACUGUAACUGACGCUGAGGCACGAAAGCGUGGGGAUCAAACAGGAUUAGAUACCCUGGUAGUCCACGCCCUAAACGAUGAUUACUCGAAGUGUGCGAUACACAGCACGCCUCUGAGCGAAAGCAUUAAGUAAUCCACCUGGGAAGUACGACCGCAAGGUUGAAACUCAAAGGAAUUGACGGGGGCCCGCACAAGCGGAGGAGCAUGUGGUUUAAUUCGAUGAU